Molecule: ribosomal RNA, 433 nt
Filed under: uncultured bacterium
Lineage: Bacteria
Description: partial 16S ribosomal RNA
Rfam family: Bacterial small subunit ribosomal RNA
Source: RNAcentral
AACGAACGCUGGCGGCAUGCCUAACACAUGCAAGUCGAACGAGACCUUCGGGUCUAGUGGCGCACGGGUGCGUAACGCGUGGGAACCUGCCCUUAGGUUCGGAAUAACUCCCCGAAAGGGGUGCUAAUACCGGAUAAUGUCUUCGGACCAAAGAUUUAUCGCCGUUGGAUGGGCCCGCGUUGGAUUAGCUAGUUGGUAGGGUAAAAGCCUACCAAGGCGACGAUCCAUAGCUGGUCUGAGAGGAUGAUCAGCGACACUGGGACUGAGACACGGCCCAGACUCCUACGGGAGGCAGCAGUGGGGAAUAUUGGACAAUGGGCGAAAGCCUGAUCCAGCAAUGCCGCGUGAGUGAUGAAGGCCUUAGGGUUGUAAAGCUCUUUUACCCGGGAUGAUAAUGACAGUACCGGGAGAAUAAGCUCCGGCUAACUCCGUG